GAUGAACGCUGGCGGCGUGCCUAAUACAUGCAAGUCGAGCGAACAGACGAGGAGCUUGCUCCUCUGACGUUAGCGGCGGACGGGUGAGUAACACGUGGAUAACCUACCUAUAAGACUGGGAUAACUUCGGGAAACCGGAGCUAAUACCGGAUAAUAUAUUGAACCGCAUGGUUCAAUAGUGAAAGACGGUUUUGCUGUCACUUAUAGAUGGAUCCGCGCCGCAUUAGCUAGUUGGUAAGGUAACGGCUUACCAAGGCGACGAUGCGUAGCCGACCUGAGAGGGUGAUCGGCCACACUGGAACUGAGACACGGUCCAGACUCCUACGGGAGGCAGCAGUAGGGAAUCUUCCGCAAUGGGCGAAAGCCUGACGGAGCAACGCAGCGUGAGUGAUGAAGGUCUUCGGAUCGUAAAACUCUGUUAUUAGGGAAGAACAAAUGUGUAAGUAACUAUGCACGUCUUGACGGUACCUAAUCAGAAAGCCACGGCUAACUACGUG
RNAcentral lists this ribosomal RNA (497 nucleotides) under uncultured bacterium. Its description in RNAcentral is "partial 16S ribosomal RNA". It matches the Rfam family "Bacterial small subunit ribosomal RNA", at positions 28 to 507 of the family's 1533-position model. The record is from RNAcentral.